This 445-nucleotide ribosomal RNA is filed under the name uncultured bacterium. RNAcentral describes it as "bacterial SSU rRNA". It matches the Rfam family "Bacterial small subunit ribosomal RNA", at positions 330 to 792 of the family's 1533-position model. The record is from RNAcentral.
UCCAGACUCCUACGGGAGGCAGCAGUGGGGAAUAUUGCACAAUGGGGGGAACCCUGAUGCAGCGACGCCGCGUGGGUGAAGGAGCACCUCGGUGCGUAAAGCCCUAUCGGCAGGGAAGAAACAGACGGUACCUGUCGAAUAAGCCACGGCUAACUACGUGCCAGCAGCCGCGGUAAUACGUAGGUGGCAAGCGUUGUCCGGAUUUACUGGGUGUAAAGGGCGUGUAGCCGGGCUGACAAGUCAGAUGUGAAAUCCGGGGGCUCAACCCCCGAACUGCAUUUGAAACUGUUGGUCUUGAGUAUCGGAGAGGCAGGCGGAAUUCCUAGUGUAGCGGUGAAAUGCGUAGAUAUUAGGAGGAACACCAGUGGCGAAGGCGGCUUACUGGACUGUAACUGACGUUGAGGCUCGAAAGCGUGGGGAGCAAACAGGAUUAGAUACCCUAGUA